GCCUGGGUGGCUCAGUAGGUUAAGCAUCCGACUUCGGCUCGGGUCAUGAUCUCACGGUCCGUGAGUUUGAGCCCCACGUCAGGCU
This is a non-coding RNA of Felis catus (domestic cat), 85 nucleotides long. Lineage: Eukaryota; Metazoa; Chordata; Mammalia; Carnivora; Felidae. The record is from Rfam.